AUACGGAAAAAUCUAAAUUCCGCAGAUUUCUGCGCUACGGGCUACAACUACAGAAAAAUUCUGCGGUGUUGACUUCAUUUACAUGACGCUCUAGUAAGACAGAUCGUGUCAGCUGACUCGGGUUUACGUACCGGUAGGUUUACGUUCUUGACUAAUUCCAGCUUAAGUAUGUGUCAGUCUGAACAAGUAGUUGGCAAUGAAUCUAUCUAUGAUGAUGACGCCUUAGAAAUAAGUGACGAAAAUUGCAUUGUGGAGACGCUCGAGGACGCCGAAGACGGUAUUGAAUUUCUCGAGACUUCAAUGGAGCAAGCGUUAGGUACUACUUAACUUUUCAUGCAUUUGUGUUUUUUAUUUAUGCGUAGAUAAAUUCCUUUAACAGGUAAAGCUCAGGAAAGUUCGUGGCGGAAGCCUACGCCUGCAGAUGUGCGGAAACCGGUCCAUGGUGUUUUGAAAGCGAGGAAGAAUUCCGCGACAGACUCCUUAAUGAGUGUUGCCGCAAAAAAGAAACAAAAAUGUGAACUUCUCAUGAAAACCACUGCUGAGGAACACGACAUCAAAAAAAAAAAAACAACAAGAUAUGGAAAUUGAAAUAAUGAAAAAGGAGCACGAUCUCUGAGUUAUAAAGAUGGAGUUGGAAAUCGACCUUUUAAAAUUACAAAUACAACAAAUGGAAAAAAAGAUUUUGGGUGAUUGCAAUAACAUUGGUGUUUAGUUUUGUUUUAUUCAAUUUUAGUGUUAAUGUUAUUUUUUUUAUUUUUUUAAAUAUAAGGAAACGAAUGCAGUCAUACGAAAUGAAUUUAAAGUCUGAGUAGUCUGUAAAUAAUUAAAGUAAUACAAAUGAAUGUACCCUUUUUUGUAGUAAUAAGAAAACUGAAUUACCUUUUUUUUAUAGUAAUAAGAAAACUGAAUUACCUUUUAUAUUAUGUGAUAAAUUUAGACCAAUUCAUAUUUUAUUAUGUACGCUAAACCGUUAUGAAAGCACUUAAAAAAUAAAAGACUGAAUAUAAAAUUUUUACAUGAAAACUAACUGUUUCCAUUUCUAAACAAGUCCUUAAAGUAAUUGUUAACUAAUGAUGUUCUGGUUCAAUUGUUUGGAUUCGAAGUUUCUCGUUGCCUGUUCCUUGGGACAGAGA
Molecule: long non-coding RNA, 1133 nt
Organism: Rhagoletis pomonella (apple maggot)
Lineage: Eukaryota; Metazoa; Arthropoda; Insecta; Diptera; Tephritidae
Exons: 2
Source: RefSeq, a predicted model, not a curated record